Molecule: ribosomal RNA, 168 nt
Filed under: uncultured bacterium
Lineage: Bacteria
Description: partial 16S ribosomal RNA
Rfam family: Bacterial small subunit ribosomal RNA
Source: RNAcentral
CGCUAGUAAUCGCGGAUCAGAAUGCCGCGGUGAAUACGUUCCCGGGUCUUGUACACACCGCCCGUCACACCAUGGGAGUCGGGAAUGCCCGAAGCCCGUGACUGAACCGGAAGGGAAGAGCAGUCGAAGGCAGGCCUGAUGACUGGGGUGAAGUCGUAACAAGGUAGC